This is a long non-coding RNA of Oryctolagus cuniculus (rabbit), 2010 nucleotides long. RefSeq lists it as uncharacterized. The record is from RefSeq and is a predicted model, not a curated record. Lineage: Eukaryota; Metazoa; Chordata; Mammalia; Lagomorpha; Leporidae.
GCUCCCUGGUAGGACACUAAAGAUUCAGUGGCACAAAAAGCUUACAGAUAAUUAAAUAUUGAUUUUUGUUUUCUAAUCCCAUAUAAAAAUUGUCCUGGGUCUCCCAGUGGUGGUGUUAUCUCGCCAGGACACGGGAGGGGAAGAGACGAGGGUGUCUUUUAAGCCUCGUGGAGCGCCCCCCAAGGAGCAAGAAAACAAAGGAGGGGAAAUAAAUGAAGUUGUUAAUUAAAAAGGAAGCAGGACUUGGUGGAAACACAGCGGAAUGUCCCGGAAUAGAAGCUGUGACUGAGAGCCGCAUGCGGCUGUGUGGCAGAGCACAAGUGGGACCGGGACUCAGACCUGCGCCCUUGGUGGAUUCCAUUUCCCGGUCUCCGUGAUGGAUGGAGACAGGCAGGUGACGGAUGUCAGGGAUGAGGCUCAGCUGCAGUGUGUUAGCUGUGACUGCUUAGGAAAAGAUGUCCUUCCAGUGACAACGGAUAAAUGAAAACGGCAGGAAGACUCGGAGCACCUGGCAGCCCUUUUGUUAUCGUGAGGAAGCUCCUGCCUAAGAAUGAGACCAGCACAAAAUGGGAAUGAGACGGACGCCCAAGAACAUCCAUUGAAUGCCUAGCCCCGGCCAUGCCUGGAGCUGGAAUCUUUUCACUGUUCUGCGAGCUAAUACUCGUAUAUCCUGUGUCUCUCAAGCUGGCUGAAUUAGGUCCAGAUGUGUCCCAUUUUUAUAUUAACAAUCCGUCACUCAGGAAAGCCGAGUAAGUUUCCUACGCUGAGGACGUGGCCAUGUAGGUAGGGGAGCCAGCGCCAACCCGGAUUUUCCUGGAUCUUAACUCCGUAAUCUCAACUCCUGGGCAAUUGCUUCUGAAAUUGACUUAAAAGAGAUACUGAAGGCCAGGGGAAGGGUGGGGGAUGGUGCCUGCAUUGUGACUCAGUAGGUUUAGUGGCACCCCAGCUUAUAUGGGUGCUGGUUGGAGUCACGGCUGCUCCACUUCCCAUCCAGCUCCCUGCUCAUGCGCCUGGGAAAGCAGCGGAAGAUCGCCCAUGUAGGAGAUCUAGAAAAAGCCCUUGGCUCUUGGCUUCAGUCUGGGCCAGCCCUGGCCAUUGUGGCCAUCUAGGGAGUGAACCAGCAGAUGGAUGGUGUCUCUCUGUCUCUCCCUCUCUCUCUAUAACUCUGCCUUUCCAAAAAAAGUAAAUGAAUCUUUAAAAAGGAGAGAGAGAGAGAGAGAGAUAUUCCGGGAUUGUUUUCUCUUAGAGGUUUAAGGUGAUACCAGCAGUCAAUCAGGAGGAGAAAGCCUGGUGACUCUGCUGCCAAGAUUCUGGGAUCUGUGACUCCUUCGGACCUCUCUGAACGAGGAAGUGACAGCUGUUAACUGUGGCCAGACUGAGAUGUCAGAGGCACCCGCGUUUGACUUUCUGUUCUGACUGCCAACUGUAGGGGCCCUCUGGAUGCAGAAUGUUUUAAAUAGUCUUUUCUAGUAAUGGUUGAAAUGCUGUGUGCUAGUUCAAUUUUCAUGACUUCAAUUAAAAUACCAAGAGGAACAUCUUGGGAACGAAAAGGCUUGAUUUCGGCUGAGAGUUUGGAGUUUGAGCUGAGGAUCGGGUGAGCCCAUGGGGUGGGGUCUGGUGGGUGCUCACUGUGGCAGGUGUGGAGGCAUGGUCAUGCGGUAACCCAGGAAGCAGAGUGGGAGAGCAAGCUGGCCUGAACUUGCACCCAGGACAACCAACAUGUGCACAAGAGCCUCUCUCUGCAGGCACACCCCCAGCGACAUCGCCCAUCAGGCACCAAAGCUGUAUCAAAGCUCCACCCACAAUCCAUCUAUCAUUAGCACGAAGACAUUGAAGACAUCGAGUUUAAAUAUCUGAGUGCACUGGGGGGAGGCGAGUCCCACUUAACCCGUAAAGCUCUGCUUUGUUCUUAAAUAGUUUGUAAUUCACAAGGAGUUACAGAAGUAGCCAUCACCCAGUGUCCCCUGGUGCAUGGAUCUCACGUAAUGGUAGACAUGGGUGCAGCGCUAA